This 253-nucleotide ribosomal RNA is filed under the name uncultured bacterium. RNAcentral's name for it is "partial 16S ribosomal RNA". It matches the Rfam family "Bacterial small subunit ribosomal RNA", at positions 524 to 776 of the family's 1533-position model. The record is from RNAcentral.
UACGAGGGGUGCAAGCGUUGUUCGGAAUCACUGGGCGUAAAGGGAGCGUAGGCGGAAAUUCAAGUCGGUCGUACAAUACCAGGGCCUAACCCUGGAACUGCGGCCGAUACUGGAUUUCUUGAGUUGUUUAGAGGCAGGCGGAAUUCCAGGUGUAGCGGUGGAAUGCGUAGAGAUCUGGAAGAACACCAAUGGCGAAGGCAGCCUGCUGGGAACAAACUGACGCUGAGGCUCGAAAGCGCGGGUAGCAAACAGG